Molecule: long non-coding RNA, 2003 nt
Organism: Leucoraja erinaceus (little skate)
Lineage: Eukaryota; Metazoa; Chordata; Chondrichthyes; Rajiformes; Rajidae
Exons: 3
Source: RefSeq, a predicted model, not a curated record
UCCUACAUUAAGAUGAUUUAAAAUUUAAAAAAAAAGAAAAUGGUGAAAACAGAAUUUUGAGCCUUUGUGCAAAGGGACAAAAAGGUUUAGUGUUUACAGUUUAGAGAUAAAGGCGGAAACAGGCCCUUCUGCCCACCGAGUCCGCACCGACCAGCGAUCACCGCACAUUAACACCAUCCUACACACACUGGGGAAAAUUCACAUUUAUACCAAGCCAAUUAACCCACAAACCUGUACGUCUUUGUAGUGUGGGAGGAAACUGAAGGUCUCAGAGAAAAUCCACACAGUCACAGGGAGAACGUACAAACUCCGCACAGACAGCACCCGUAGUCAUGAUCAAACCUGGGUCUCCGGUGCUAUAAGGUAUCAACUCUACCGCUGCACCAUCGUGCCGCACUUUUUCGGUUGUUUACUUAUGAGCAUACCUUUUUAUCCUUCUCUUGGAGCUGACUGACCUGGUGUGCAAAUCCAAACCUUGUCUGUGCAGCACUUAUAUAUCUUUUUUCCUAUAUUAGGUUGCGUAGUGGUUUAAUUGUAGGAACUGUAAUGAAUGAAAUGCUUUUGCAUUAUGUCUGUAAGAACAAACGUGGAUGUUUGGUCAGGGACGGGUUAUUAUAAUGUAUAUGGUUUUUUUUAAUAUGGGAGCAUGGCAUCGUACAUCGACAUUAUUAACUGCAACCACAGUUUUGUUGAAAGAUUAUGACACAAACAAAACAUCUGAGGAAGUACACAUUGCCAAAUGAAGCUGACUAGAACAUGGUCAUGCUUGGCCAGUUCCAAUCUGAAUGGAAAUGCAACCAUAUAAAUACUUGUGUUUGGCUACAUAUGGAACAGAGAGUCACUCAGCAAGAGUUUAAUUUCAAUAAUUGAACCUCACAUUGUUUAUGUAUUAAUUAAAAUCACUGUGAAAAACAACCGUAGCAGGUUAAAUGUUCCUUUGGGCCAUCCGCUGAUUUAAGAAUAUAGCCACAUUCUAAAGUGUCUGUGCUCAUUUCAUGCCAUGUUAAUCAAACACAAAAAUACUGCGUAGUAAAAAAAAUCAUGGCUAACUCGUCACUGGUAUACAAUCAAAUAAGAAACUAUGAAUCUGUUCAAAUUACUCUCACUUCACUUAAAGUGAGAAGGGCCAUCAAAGUGCUGCCAGUUUCUGCCACACACUAUGAUUACUUGUCAGACAAACAGAUGGAGAGUUUAAAGGCCACGAGCCAUAUUGUGACAGAAAAGAUUCCAUUCUUUGUUUGGCACACUCUUAGGUCUUUGCAAAUGGGAAAGAGGAAUGCCUUUCUGCUUCAAACACCAUCAACAGUUUUGCUGCUGCUGCACUAAAACAAGUUGUAUCAUGCCUAUGCACUGUGAAAUAUUCCAGCACACUAGCUGACUAGAAUAGGAUUUGUGGUUCAACAUGGCUAAUAACAAUUUUUAUUCUUUUCCAAGUGUCUCUGAGAGUAUAUUUUCCCUCCCGUUAAACUGUUUUAAGUCAGAUUAUUGCCAUCAUCAGAAGAUUUGUGCUUUGACUGAAAUAUAAUUAAGUUUUUCCAUCUAAUUUAGGUUUGAAUAAUUCUAGCUGUGAAAAACAUUUUAAAAUCUCAUUUACAACUUUAUUUUAGCAAAAAAACUUUUUAAAAAGUAGCUUAAAAAAAAGUUUGCUUUGCUCAAGUCGUCAAUUCUUAACGUGCCUGAAAGGCACAUAAUUGGGUGACAAACAACACAUUAGGAAUCGCAAGAUUGCAGUUUCCUUGUGAGUGAUGGGCUGAAAGCAAUGCAUGUAAACCACCCUAAAAGACAAACGUCAAUAAUGAUUUCAAUCUUUCAAUUCACCAGUCUGACCAGGAUUGCUGAACAGGAAUCGUUGUAUUAUUCUUAUAACUCGGAAUUCCGAAAACCGAAAAGCUCCGAAAACAGAACACAUGCAUGUAAGUAUAUUUUCAUGUGUUUAGCUUAGUUUAGCUUAGUUUAUGUUUAAAGUUUUACUUAAUGUUUUAUCUUUUUUUUUAAUUAUUUAU